UUCAGUACUAAACUGGAGCAAUACAGAGAAGAUCGCAUAGCCCAUGUGCAGGGAUGACAUACAUUCGUGAAGUGUUCUAUGUUUUU
This 86-nucleotide small nuclear RNA is filed under the name Echinops telfairi (small Madagascar hedgehog). The record is from RNAcentral. Lineage: Eukaryota; Metazoa; Chordata; Mammalia; Afrosoricida; Tenrecidae.